CUUGCGUAGAUCUUACACAUGCAGUCGACGAUGAAGCCCUUCGGGGUGGAUUAGUGGCGAACGGGUGAGUAACACGUGGGCAAUCUGCCCUGCACUCUGGGACAAGCCCUGGAAACGGGGUCUAAUACCGGAUAUGACUGUCCGCCGCAUGGUGGAUGGUGUAAAGCUCCGGCGGUGCAGGAUGAGCCCGCGGCCUAUCAGCUUGUUGGUGAGGUAGUGGCUCACCAAGGCGACGACGGGUAGCCGGCCUGAGAGGGCGACCGGCCACACUGGGACUGAGACACGGCCCAGACUCCUACGGGAGGCAGCAGUGGGGAAACUAAUUUGGCAAGCAAUGGGCGGAAAGCACUGAUGCAAGCGAACGCCGCGUGAGGGCAUGACGGCCAUACGGGUUGUAAAUCCUCUUUCAGCAUGGGAAAGAAGCGAGAGUGACGGUACCUGCAGAAGAAGCGCCGGCUAACUACGUGCCAGCAGCCGCGGUAAUACGUAGGGCGCAAGCGUUGUCCGGAAUUAUUGGGCGUAAAGAGCUCGUAGGCGGCUUGUCACGUCGGUUGUGAAAGCCCGGGGCUUAACCCCGGGUCUGCAGUCGAUACGGGCAGGCUAGAGUUCGGUAGGGGAGAUCGGAAUUCCUGGUGUAGCGGUGAAAUGCGCAGAUAUCAGGAGGAACACCGGUGGCGAAGGCGGAUCUCUGGGCCGAUACUGACGCUGAGGAGCGAAAGCGUGGGGAGCGAACAGGAUUAGAUACCCUGGUAGUCCACGCCGUAAACGGUGGGCACUAGGUGUGGGCAACAUUCCACGUUGUCCGUGCCGCAGCUAACGCAUUAAGUGCCCCGCCUGGGGAGUACGGCCGCAAGGCUAAAACUCAAAGGAAUUGACAGGGGGCCCGCACAAGCGGCGGAGCAUGUGGCUUAAUUCGACGCAACGCGAAGAACUCUUACCAAGGCUUGACAUACACCGGAAACGUCUGGAGACAGGCGCCCCCUUGUGCUCGGUGUACAGGUGGUGCAUGGUCUGUCGUCAGCUCGUGUCGUGAGAUGAUUGGGUUCAAGUUCCCGCAACGAGUCGCAAACCCUUGUCCCGUGAUGCCAUGCAGACCCUUGUGGUGCUGAGGACUCACCGCAGUACCGUCAGGGGUCCACACUCGGCAGGAAGGUGGGGACGACGUCAAGUCAUCAUGCCCCUUAUGUCUUGGGCUGCACACGUGCUACAAUGGCCGGUACAAUGAGCUGCGAUACCGUGAGGUGGAGCGAAUCUCAAAAAGCCGGUCUCAGUUCGGAUUGGGGUCUGCAACUCGACCCCAUGAAGUCGGAGUCGCUAGUAAUCGCAGAUCAGCAUUGCUGCGGUGAAUACGUUCCCGGGCCUUGUACACACCGCCCGUCACGUCACGAAAGUCGGUAACACCCGAAGCCGGUGGCCCAACCCCUUGUGGGAGGGAGCUGUCGAAUAUGCACCC
This 1453-nucleotide ribosomal RNA is filed under the name Streptomyces sp. RNAcentral describes it as "bacterial SSU rRNA". It matches the Rfam family "Bacterial small subunit ribosomal RNA". Lineage: Bacteria; Bacillati; Actinomycetota; Actinomycetes; Kitasatosporales; Streptomycetaceae. The record is from RNAcentral.